AAAGUCCGGGGCCUUAACCCCUGGAUCUGCGGUGGGUACGGGCAGACUAGAGUGAUGUAGGGGAGACUGGAAUUCCUGGUGUAGCGGUGAAAUGCGCAGAUAUCAGGAGGAACACCGAUGGCGAAGGCAGGUCUCUGGGCAUUAACUGACGCUGAGGAGCGAAAGCAUGGGGAGCGAACAGGAUUAGAUACCCUGGUAGUCCAUGCCGUAAACGUUGGGCACUAGGUGUGGGGAACAUUCCACGUUUUCCGCGCCGUAGCUAACGCAUUAAGUGCCCCGCCUGGGGAGUACGGCCGCAAGGCUAAAACUCAAAGGAAUUGACGGGGGCCCGCACAAGCGGCGGAGCAUGCGGAUUAAUUCGAUGCAACGCGAAGAACCUUACCAAGGCUUGACAUGGACUGGAUCGCCGCAGAGAUGUGGUUUCCCUUCGGGGCUGGUUCACAGGUGGUGCAUGGUUGUCGUCAGCUCGUGUCGUGAGAUGUUGGGUUAAGUCCCGCAACGAGCGCAACCCUCGUUCCAUGUUGCCAGCGGGUUAUGCCGGGGACUCAUGGGAGACUGCCGGGGUCAACUCGGAGGAAGGUGAGGACGACGUCAAAUCAUCAUGCCCCUUAUGUCUUGGGCUUCACGCAUGCUACAAUGGCCGGUACAAAGGGUUGCGAUACUGUGAGGUGGAGCUAAUCCCAAAAAGCCGGUCUCAGUUCGGAUUGGGGUCUGCAACUCGACCCCAUGAAGUCGGAGUCGCUAGUAAUCGCAGAUCAGCAACGCUGCGGUGAAUACGUUCCCGGGCCUUGUACACACCGCCCGUCAAGUCAUGAAAGUUGGUAACACCCGAAGCCGGUGGACGCUAUACC
This 851-nucleotide ribosomal RNA is filed under the name Galactobacter valiniphilus. RNAcentral describes it as "bacterial SSU rRNA". It matches the Rfam family "Bacterial small subunit ribosomal RNA", at positions 597 to 1443 of the family's 1533-position model. Lineage: Bacteria; Bacillati; Actinomycetota; Actinomycetes; Micrococcales; Micrococcaceae. The record is from RNAcentral.